Molecule: ribosomal RNA, 487 nt
Filed under: uncultured Bacillota bacterium
Lineage: Bacteria; Bacillati; Bacillota
Description: bacterial SSU rRNA
Rfam family: Bacterial small subunit ribosomal RNA
Source: RNAcentral
CAGGAUGAACGCUGCGGCGAUGCCUAAUACAUGCAAGUCGAACGGAUAUCUUCGGAUAUGAGUGGCGAACGGGUGAGUAACACGUAGGGAACCUGCCUGCAUGAGCGGGAGAACUUACUGGAAACGGAAGCUGAUACCGGAUGAGCAAAGAGGAGGCAUCUCUUUUUGGAAAAGGGGACAAGAGUCCCGCAUGCAGAUGGACCUGCGGUGCAUUAGCUGGUUGGAGAGGUAACGGCUCACCAAGGCGACGAUGCAUAGCCGGCCUGAGAGGGCGGACGGCCACACUGGGACUGAGACACGGCCCAGACUCCUGCGGGAGGCAGCAGUAGGGAAUUUUCGUCAAUGGGGGGAACCCUGAAUGAGCAAUGCCGCGUGAGCGAGGAAGGUCUUCGGAUCGUAAAGCUCUGUUGCCGGGGACAAAAGGCAGAAAGAGUGGAAAGCUUUCUGAGUGAUGGUACCCGGCGAGGAAGUCACGGCUAACUACGUG